RNAcentral lists this ribosomal RNA (250 nucleotides) under uncultured bacterium. Its description in RNAcentral is "partial 16S ribosomal RNA". It matches the Rfam family "Bacterial small subunit ribosomal RNA", at positions 524 to 773 of the family's 1533-position model. The record is from RNAcentral.
GACGGAGGGGGCAAGCGUUGUCCGGAAUUACUGGGCGUAAAGCGCUCGUAGGCGGUCGCAUACGGCGGUGGUGAAAGCUCCCGGCUCAACUGGGAGAGGCCCAUCGCAACGGUGUGACUCGAGGGUGGUAGAGGCAGACGGAAUUCCUGGUGUAGCGGUGAAAUGCGUAGAGAUCAGGAGGAACACCCGUGGCGAAGGCGGUCUGCUGGGCCAUGCCUGACGCUGAGGAGCGAAAGCGAGGGGAGCGAAC